This is a long non-coding RNA of Drosophila sulfurigaster albostrigata, 684 nucleotides long. RefSeq lists it as uncharacterized. The transcript is spliced from 2 exons. The record is from RefSeq and is a predicted model, not a curated record. Lineage: Eukaryota; Metazoa; Arthropoda; Insecta; Diptera; Drosophilidae.
GUUUUCAGUGGUGCCACUGUUGUUCUCAUAUUUUGUCUUGAUUAACACAUUUAAUUUGGGUAUGAAGGAGCACUAUGUAUAGAAAAGAGUGUAGGGAUAAUAAUUCCAUGAUUUUUCAAUCACAUAGAAAACGCGAGGACAAAUCGCUUGUAUCCAGUAGGGAAGGCGACUGAAAAAGAGAGAGGGAGAGAGAGAAUGCGCAUUAGCUAAGUAUCAACUUAUGUGUUGACAACGACGGUGAAUACUCUUACCUGGACAGGUGUAUGCGUUUUUCUGUAUACUGUCCCUUGCCAUGCACGGGAUCCUCACAGGGCUUGUUCUCCAUCACCUCAACCCCCUCGCCUUCGUCGGACUGUUCAAGACUGUGGCGCGCAAUCAUAUACAGCUGUCCAAUUUUAUACUAAGCAUCAAGUGUUGAAUGAGUGUUAGGAUGAAUGGAUAGGAAAAUUGAGUGACACCGUUGUUUAUGGCUAGUUCUCACCUCAUCCACAGUGAGCGGCAUGCAAACACGAUAUUCCUUAAUUAAUACCAUCUCGCGAAUUGAUAAUUUUGUAAAAUAUAAAUAAACGAAACUUCAAGUUACGCAAAGAACGAAACACGAGCGAGUCGCAACAGAAGCAACAACAAAAACUAAUGCUUUUAAAAAUCAAUCGACGUGUCUAUCGAUUGGCUUCUCGAUGAAUG